Transfer RNA from Camelus ferus (Wild Bactrian camel), 72 nucleotides. It matches the Rfam family "tRNA". Rfam says of the family: Transfer RNA (tRNA) molecules are approximately 80 nucleotides in length. Their secondary structure includes four short double-helical elements and three loops (D, anti-codon, and T loops). NCBI's taxonomy places the organism in Eukaryota, Metazoa, Chordata, Mammalia, Artiodactyla, Camelidae. The record is from Rfam.
GAGGGUAUAGCUCAGUGGUAGAGCACAUGCUUAGCAUACACAAGGUCCAGGGUUCAAUCCCCAGUACCUCCU